This 254-nucleotide ribosomal RNA is filed under the name uncultured bacterium. RNAcentral's name for it is "partial 16S ribosomal RNA". It matches the Rfam family "Bacterial small subunit ribosomal RNA", at positions 524 to 776 of the family's 1533-position model. The record is from RNAcentral.
UACAGAGGGGGCAAGCGUUGUUCGGAAUUACUGGGCGUAAAGGGCGCGCAGGCGGCUGCUCAAGUCAGGCGUGAAAGGCCUGGGCUCAACCCGGGAAUUGCGCUUGAGACUGGGCUGGCUUGAGUGCGGGAGAGGAUGGUGGAAUUCCCGGUGUAGUGGUGGAAUGCGUAGAUAUCGGGAGGAACACCAGUGGCGAAGGCGGCUUCCUGGACCGGUUCUGACACUGAGGAGCGAAAGCGUGGGGAGCGAUCCGG